Molecule: ribosomal RNA, 497 nt
Filed under: uncultured bacterium
Lineage: Bacteria
Description: partial 16S ribosomal RNA
Rfam family: Bacterial small subunit ribosomal RNA
Source: RNAcentral
GAUGAACGCUGGCGGCGUGCCUAAUACAUGCAAGUCGAGCGAACAGACGAGGAGCUUGCUCCUCUGACGUUAGCGGCGGACGGGUGAGUAACACGUGGAUAACCUACCUAUAAGACUGGGAUAACUUCGGGAAACCGGAGCUAAUACCGGAUAAUAUAUUGAACCGCAUGGUUCAAUAGUGAAAGACGGUUUUGCUGUCACUUAUAGAUGGAUCCGCGCCGCAUUAGCUAGUUGGUAAGGUAACGGCUUACCAAGGCGACGAUGCGUAGCCGACCUGAGAGGGUGAUCGGCCGCAGUGGAAGUGAGACACGGUGCAGACGCGUACGGGAGGCAGCAGUAGGGAGUCUUGUGCAAUGGUGGAAAGACUGACGGAGCAACGCAGCGUGAAUGAAGAAGGUAUUCGUAUCGUAAAACUCUGUUAUUAGGAAAGAACAAAUGUCUAAGAAACUAUGCACGUCUUGACGGUACCAAAUCAGAAAGGCACGGCUAACUACGUG